RNAcentral lists this ribosomal RNA (164 nucleotides) under uncultured bacterium. Its description in RNAcentral is "partial 16S rRNA". It matches the Rfam family "Bacterial small subunit ribosomal RNA", at positions 355 to 511 of the family's 1533-position model. The record is from RNAcentral.
UAGGGAAUCUUCCACAAUGGGCGCAAGCCUGAUGGAGCAACGCCGCGUGAGUGAAGAAGGUCUUCGGAUCGUAAAACUCUGUUGUUAGAGAAGAACAUGCGUGAGAGUAACUGUUCUUGUAUUAACGGUAUCUAACCAGAAAGCCACGGCUAACUACGUGCCAG